CUUCAGCAUUCAAAUUCUUUCUAACUGCUUUACAUAUAGUUAUAACUAAGAACUGCUUUUCUGAAACAUUUGGAUUUCUGAUAACUUAUAUUCUUAAAAUGGCAGUUUUUACAUACUGACAAUUGAUUUUCCCCACAGCCAAAGAACCGAGUUUUAUGGAUUGUGUUGGGGAGCAAGUUGGGAUGAUGGUCGAAUGCCAUAAAAAGUUUAGCCUUCCCACACUCGACACCGAUUGCUUUUAGAUGACAUGCAUAAAGCUCGAUUCAACAGAUAGAAUGUAAGAAAAACACAAAAUCUGUUCAUCCACGCAGACGUUUUUCAGCAUAUCCACCAAAGAAAGAUCACAAAAUAUCCAACUUCACCACUGUUUCUCAGCUAUUACCAGCCAAAAUGCAAGACAAAAAGAUCACAUAAUUGACAUGACAACAAUUGAAUGCGGUAUAACCACAACAAAAAAUGAAAAAGGGAGGAAAAAGAUUGGAUUAUAAGUGAAAAAAAAAAUCUUCUUUUAAAUCAUACUAACUUAACCCCCAUUUUUCAAAAAUCAUUACCUUUACAUUCCUAAUCACCCUUUUCUUGAUUUAAUUUUGCCCAUUAAAAAAGCCAAAAAAACAGCUCCAACCCAAACAGAUAUUCACACCAAAACAUAAUACACUGCUACAACAAUUUAAACGAAAAUCAAAGCCAUAAACAGUGAAAAUCACAAAUUAAAACAAA
This 717-nucleotide long non-coding RNA is filed under the name Olea europaea subsp. europaea. The record is from RNAcentral. Lineage: Eukaryota; Viridiplantae; Streptophyta; Magnoliopsida; Lamiales; Oleaceae.